GGGCCCGUAGCUCAGUUGGAUAGAGCGGCGGCCUCCUAAGCCGUUGGUCGCGGGUUCGAAUCCCGCCGGGCCCGCCA
This 77-nucleotide transfer RNA is filed under the name Thermoprotei archaeon. RNAcentral's name for it is "tRNA-Arg". It matches the Rfam family "tRNA". From Rfam's summary of the family: Transfer RNA (tRNA) molecules are approximately 80 nucleotides in length. Their secondary structure includes four short double-helical elements and three loops (D, anti-codon, and T loops). Lineage: Archaea; Thermoproteati; Thermoproteota; Thermoprotei. The record is from RNAcentral.